Molecule: long non-coding RNA, 843 nt
Organism: Drosophila miranda
Lineage: Eukaryota; Metazoa; Arthropoda; Insecta; Diptera; Drosophilidae
Exons: 3
Source: RefSeq, a predicted model, not a curated record
UCCGGCCGCCCACGUUGCAUCUGUCGUUGGUUGGUAUUGGCUGCUGCACUCGAGUGGCACUGGUCCGGCCACCCAACUGUAUUGUCAUUGUGUUGGCAUUGGCGUCGUGUGAUUGAUGCCAACGAUUUGUGCUAAUGGCCGCAUCCAAGUGGCAACUGGUCCGGCCACCCAGGAUGCGCUGUCAGGUGGAUUGGCCUGGCCUCCCCGGCCACGUUCAUCGUCGGGUUGUUGGUGUAUUUUUUUUAUGGUUUGACUGGCUCAGGGCACUUUAGAGUGACCUGAAGCUUUAUUUAUUAAUGUUCUUAUUACUAUUGGCAACAUAUAACAUUAUUUAUGGAAACAUUUAACAUUUUUUUAACAUUUAGGUAUUUUUUUUUUACUUUACGGUAACAUUGAUAAUAACAGACAGAAAAAUACUAGACAGUUAUCAAUUUGCUCUUGUAAACAAAAGGUAAGUUAAGAUCGGCUUGUGUUUUCUUUUUUCUGGCUUAGGCAUAAAAAUUUUGUGACGCCGCUCCUGGACCCCUCAUCCGGUGCGAAACGGAGGUAUGGACGACAGGGAGACCUCCAAGCAUCGGCAACGCAAGCGCGGCAUCGCCUCGUCCCUCUUUUCCUGGCCGAAUCCAACCGAUGCAGCUCUAAGAAGAACGGCGGCGCAUAUGCUUCUUUCUGUGGAUGAUAUGAAACUCCUGGCUGAUUUUAAUAUUGUUUUAUUUUCAGGUUUAUGUUUUGUAGGUUUGGUGAUCAAGUGUCAGGAAUCCAGUUAGGUUCGAUUGGUCCAUUGGGAGGUUUGCGUUGAGUUUGGCUAAAUUAAUUUAUUUAGAGGUUUGCGUUGAAUUUGGU